RNAcentral lists this ribosomal RNA (427 nucleotides) under uncultured bacterium. RNAcentral's name for it is "partial 16S ribosomal RNA". It matches the Rfam family "Bacterial small subunit ribosomal RNA", at positions 355 to 774 of the family's 1533-position model. The record is from RNAcentral.
UGGGGAAUAUUGGACAAUGGGCGAAAGCCUGAUCCAGCCAUGCCGCGUGUGUGAAGAAGGUCUUCGGAUUGUAAAGCACUUUAAGUUGGGAGGAAGGGCAUUAACCUAAUACGUUAGUGUUUUGACGUUACCGACAGAAUAAGCACCGGCUAACUCUGUGCCAGCAGCCGCGGUAAUACAGAGGGUGCAAGCGUUAAUCGGAAUUACUGGGCGUAAAGCGCGCGUAGGUGGUAUGUUAAGUUGGAUGUGAAAUCCCCGGGCUCAACCUGGGAACUGCAUUCAAAACUGACUGACUAGAGUAUGGUAGAGGGUGGUGGAAUUUCCUGUGUAGCGGUGAAAUGCGUAGAUAUAGGAAGGAACACCAGUGGCGAAGGCGACCACCUAGACUAAUACUGACACUGAGGUGCGAAAGCGUGGGGAGCAAACA